GAUAUAAUAUGUAAAUAUGAUCAAGAUAUAGAAAUCUUCUUUCAAAAAUACAGAACUCAAUGAGAGGGGAGUGGAAAUUGUAAAAAAUUACUGGAAACAGCAUAAAAGAAUUCAGUGGUAAACAACUUCCCAACAAGGGCUUAGCAAGGAUUCUUAAUUUUGCUUUUCCCUUUAACUUUUUCUCAAGGUCACAAUGACUCUAGGAGGGAGCAUUCCAAGAGAGGGGAUUAGGCAGCUGUGAACAAACUCAUUCUACAAGGCAGUAUCUCCAGGUGAGGAACAAGCUACAGAGCUUGUUCUCAGAGUUGGGGGCUUUGGGAGCACUGAACUAUUCCCUGAUAGCUUGAAUUUGUUUCAGCUCUAUCAGGCAACAACCUGUCUUUCAAGAGCUGGAAUUCCACCAGUACUGGGCUGUAGAAGACGACUUGGGUUCAAAUGAUGACUUCUAAUCUCACCUUCAUGCUGCUAACUCCCAAAGCCUUGAGAGACACCAGUUCCUUCCUCCUAAUGCCUUCCUUGACAGAGAGCAGAGACUAGACAUUCAGCUCAUCCCACUUUGCACCUGCAGCUCUGCCUGGUUUCAACCUCCAGGAUCAGGUAAGUUCCUGGUUCCUGCCUCCUUUUGUGCAUUGUCUUCUCCCGUUAGACAGUAAGCUCCUUGAAGGCAGGACCUAUCUUUUCUUUUUUGUGUGUAUAUCCUUGGUGCUUGUCAGAAUGCCUGGCACAUAUCAGGCACUUAAUAAAUGUUUACUUAAUUGAAUUGAACCCACAUCUUCCUAUAGAAUACAAGACACUUGGGAGCAGAGACUGUUUCAUUUUUGUCUUUGUCUAUCCAUAGCUUAUGGUACCUGGCAUGUAACAGGCAUGAAAAAUGUUUAUCCGGUUGGGUUGCCCAUUCUGAAGCCAGCCCUAUAAACACUAUGACAUGCUGCCCCAGGCAGUCCAGGUCCGCACUUCCUUUAUAGAGCAGGUCAUUAGCAAGGUGGUAGGAUCCUAGGAUCACAGGCUGGGAUUGAGAAGGAAUCAUAGCGCCCCACAAGUCUAAUAAAAUGGAAACAAAAACAACACAACACACAAACUACGGAUUCUCAAAACAUUCUUUAAUGUUCCAUUUCUCCCCAAGCCCAAAGUUGCACAAGCAGUUUGCAAACUUCAAGACCAUCAGUGACAGUGGUGGAUCCCCUCCUCCUUCCACUUUGACAAAGAAGAUGCAGCACAGGCAGUACACAGUGUGUUUUAAUGAUAUUUAAACUUUGAGAUCCAAUAACACUCAAGAACUCGGUUAGAAGGCAAGACGUGCCAGAGAAAAGGUGAAGGACAGCACAAGGCAAUCUGGGAGCAGUCUGGACUUGGAAGGCAAAAGAAGAAUUAAUGCCAUAAGUCUCUCUGCCCAUUUGUGUGAAUCUGAGGAGGCUACUGGGACUGACUCAGUGAAUAAGGCAGUAUUUUAGCUCCAUUUAACUUGUUGGUGAUAGAGCAGUCCUCGUAAUGUCCUUUAAGGAACAUUUCCUCUUGGAAGGAGGGGAAAAAAAAUCCCUGCUUCCAUGGUUGCUUGCACUCCUCACCACUGGUAUGAUGGCUCUUGGUUCAGAUAAAGCAGAAACGAAGACAACAAAGCCAAUGAAACAAUUCACAAUAACACUACCCUGGGAAGGCAGGAUGAGAACAACCCAUCUAGCCUCUGAUUCUGGAGGGAAGGCCUCCUCCUAGUCUGGUCAUAAAAAAAUCUCCCAGAGACCAUGGCCUGCCUUGAAGACUAUUCACUGCUUUGGUAGGCCUUGGCAAGAAAAAGGCAAAGAGUAAUGAGCAAAGAGCCAAAUAUAUCACUGGACUAAAAAUCAAUAGCAUCCAGGAUUCAGAACCUCACUGUCUACGAAAUACAGACUCUAGAGCAUCUUUUGAAACCAAUGAAAUGGCAUGAAAGGACUCUCUUCUCAAAGGUCAGAGUGGUUCUUUGCUGAGAAAGUAACAGGAGCUCCAUAGUCUUCCUCCUUCUUUACUCAGACCCCAAUCCUGGGUCACAAUCUCCACUCCCACUCUGACUCCUUUUGGACGCCACCACAUAAAACCUCUCCUUUAGGGUUGGUAGUAAAGAAAAAAAAGCCUUUCCCUCCCCUCGGGAUGAGCAGAAUCGAUUGGGUAACAUACCAAAGAAGGAUGAGAGAGAGUGUGUGUGUGUGUGUGUGUGUGUGUGUGAGAGAGAGAGAGAGAGAGAGAGAGAGAGAGAGAGAGAGAGAGAGAGAGAGAGAGAGAGAGAGAGAGAGAGGGAGAGAGAGAGAGAGAGAGAGAGAGAGAGAGAGAGAGAGAAAGAGAGAGAGAGAGAGAGAGAGAGAGAGAGAGAGAGAGAGAGAGAGAGAGAGAGAGAGAGA
Non-coding RNA from Monodelphis domestica (gray short-tailed opossum), 2369 nucleotides. Lineage: Eukaryota; Metazoa; Chordata; Mammalia; Didelphimorphia; Didelphidae. The record is from RefSeq and is a predicted model, not a curated record.